GACGAACGCUGGCGGCGUGCCUAAUACAUGCAAGUAGAACGCUGAAGGAGGAGCUUGCUCUUCUGGAUGAGUUGCGAACGGGUGAGUAACGCGUAGGUAACCUGCCUGGUAGCGGGGGAUAACUAUUGGAAACGAUAGCUAAUACCGCAUAACAGUAGAUGUUGCAUGACAUUUGCUUAAAAGGUGCACUUGCAUCACUACCAGAUGGACCUGCGUUGUAUUAGCUAGUUGGUGGGGUAACGGCUCACCAAGGCGACGAUACAUAGCCGACCUGAGAGGGGGAACGGCCACACUGGGACUGAGACACGGCCCAGACUCCUACGGGAGGCAGCAGUAGGGAAUCUUCGGAAAUGGACGGAAGUCUGAACGAGCAACGCCGCGUGAGUGAAGAAGGUUUUCGGAUCGUAAAGCUCUGUUGUAAGAGAAGAACGAGUGUGAGAGUGGAAAGUUCACACUGUGACGGUAGCUUACCAGAAAGGGACGGCUAACUACGUG
This 495-nucleotide ribosomal RNA is filed under the name uncultured bacterium. RNAcentral's name for it is "partial 16S ribosomal RNA". It matches the Rfam family "Bacterial small subunit ribosomal RNA", at positions 28 to 507 of the family's 1533-position model. The record is from RNAcentral.